CCCUAAAUUUAUUAAUGGUACAACCUGCCCAGUGAAAUUUUAAACGGCCGCGGUAUCCUAACCGUGCAAAGGUAGCGUAAUCACUUGUCCUUUAAAUGAGGACUAGUAUGAAUGGUUAAAUGAGGGUAGACCUGUCUCUCGUGGAAAAUCAGUGAAACUGAACUUACAGUACAAAUGCUGUGAUACACACACAAGACGAGAAGACCCUGCGGAGCUUUUAAACAACCCUCAAACAAUAAAUUGAGAACGAGUUUUCAGUUGGGGCGACUUCGGAACAAAACAAAACUUCCGAGCUAAGAGACCAUCUCUUGAAGAGGCUAACAAGCCAAUACAUUAAAACAAUGACCCGGGCCUAAACCCGAUUAACGAACCAAGUUACCCCAGGGAUAACAGCGCUAUCUUCUUUUAGAGUCCAUAUCAACAAGAAGGCUUACGACCUCGAUGUUGGAUCAGGACACCCAAAUGGUGCAGCCGCUAUUAAUGGUUCGUUUGUUCAACGAUUAACAGUCCUACGUGAUCUG
RNAcentral lists this ribosomal RNA (521 nucleotides) under Cordylus mclachlani. RNAcentral describes it as "partial 16S ribosomal RNA". It matches the Rfam family "Bacterial large subunit ribosomal RNA", at positions 1835 to 2607 of the family's 2925-position model. Lineage: Eukaryota; Metazoa; Chordata; Lepidosauria; Squamata; Cordylidae. The record is from RNAcentral.